Molecule: ribosomal RNA, 478 nt
Filed under: uncultured bacterium
Lineage: Bacteria
Description: partial 16S ribosomal RNA
Rfam family: Bacterial small subunit ribosomal RNA
Source: RNAcentral
GACGAACGCUGGCGGCGUGCUUAACACAUGCAAGUCGAACGGUAAGGCCCUUCGGGGUACACGAGUGGCGAACGGGUGAGUAACACGUGGGUGAUCUGCCCUGCACUUCGGGAUAAGCCUGGGAAACUGGGUCUAAUACCGGAUAGGACCACUGCCUGCAUGGGUGGUGGUGGAAAGCUUUUGCGGUGUGGGAUGGGCCCGCGGCCUAUCAGCUUGUUGGUGGGGUGAUGGCCUACCAAGGCGACGACGGGUAGCCGGCCUGAGAGGGUGACCGGCCACACUGGGACUGAGAUACGGCCCAGACUCCUACGGGAGGCGGCAGUGGGGAAUAUUGCACAGUGGGCGCAAGCCUGAUGCAGCGACGCCGCGUGAGGGAUGACGGCCUUCGGGUUGUAAACCUCUUUCAGCACCGACGAAGCGCAAGUGACGGUAGGUGCAGAAGAAGGACCGGCCAACUACGUGCCAGCAGCCGCGGUAA